RNAcentral lists this ribosomal RNA (702 nucleotides) under Pantoea ananatis. Its description in RNAcentral is "bacterial SSU rRNA". It matches the Rfam family "Bacterial small subunit ribosomal RNA", at positions 81 to 779 of the family's 1533-position model. The record is from RNAcentral. Lineage: Bacteria; Pseudomonadati; Pseudomonadota; Gammaproteobacteria; Enterobacterales; Erwiniaceae.
UUUUUGGGUGGCGAGUGGCGGACGGGUGAGUAAUGUCUGGGGAUCUGCCCGGUAGAGGGGGAUAACCACUGGAAACGGUGGCUAAUACCGCAUAACGUCGCAAGACCAAAGAGGGGGACCUUCGGGCCUCUCACUAUCGGAUGAACCCAGAUGGGAUUAGCUAGUAGGUGGGGUAACGGCUCACCUAGGCGACGAUCCCUAGCUGGUCUGAGAGGAUGACCAGCCACACUGGAACUGAGACACGGUCCAGACUCCUACGGGAGGCAGCAGUGGGGAAUAUUGCACAAUGGGCGCAAGCCUGAUGCAGCCAUGCCGCGUGUAUGAAGAAGGCCUUCGGGUUGUAAAGUACUUUCAGCGGGGAGGAAGGGAUGAAGCUUAAUACGCUUCGUCAUUGACGUUACCCGCAGAAGAAGCACCGGCUAACUCCGUGCCAGCAGCCGCGGUAAUACGGAGGGUGCAAGCGUUAAUCGGAAUUACUGGGCGUAAAGCGCACGCAGGCGGUCUGUCAAGUCGGAUGUGAAAUCCCCGGGCUUAACCUGGGAACUGCAUUCGAAACUGGCAGGCUAGAGUCUUGUAGAGGGGGGUAGAAUUCCAGGUGUAGCGGUGAAAUGCGUAGAGAUCUGGAGGAAUACCGGUGGCGAAGGCGGCCCCCUGGACAAAGACUGACGCUCAGGUGCGAAAGCGUGGGGAGCAAACAGGAUU